GUACAUAUAACCACUGGUUUUAUAUACAGC
Molecule: unclassified non-coding RNA, 30 nt
Filed under: Plasmid ColE1
Description: partial miscellaneous RNA
Source: RNAcentral